This 445-nucleotide ribosomal RNA is filed under the name uncultured bacterium. RNAcentral's name for it is "bacterial SSU rRNA". It matches the Rfam family "Bacterial small subunit ribosomal RNA", at positions 30 to 507 of the family's 1533-position model. The record is from RNAcentral.
AUUGAACGCUGGCGGCAGGCCUAACACAUGCAAGUCGAGCGAGAAGGUCAUUUCGGUGACUGGGCAGCGGCGGACGGGUGAGUAACGCGUGGGAAUAUACCUUUCGGUGGGGGACAACAGUUGGAAACGACUGCUAAUACCGCAUACGCCCUUUCGGGGGAAAGAGUUUAUCGCCGAGAGAUUAGCCCGCGUUAGAUUAGGUAGUUGGUGUGGUAACGGCGCACCAAGCCGACGAUCUAUAGCUGGUCUGAGAGGAUGAUCAGCCACACUGGGACUGAGACACGGCCCAGACUCCUACGGGAGGCAGCAGUGGGGAAUAUUGCGCAAUGGAGGAAACUCUGACGCAGCCAUGCCGCGUGAGUGAAGAAGGCCUUAGGGUUGUAAAGCUCUUUCAACUGUGAGGAUGAUGACAGUAGCAGUAGAAGAAGCACCGGCUAACUUCGUG